AGUUAAGCGUUAUGUAUGAGCGUCUUUUUAUAACGGUAGUUUCAACCGUUAUAUAUGAGCGUAUUUCAGUGUUAUGUAUAAACAUCAUUUUUUUCUUUUUAUCAAUUUUUAUCAAUUACUGUAAACUCUCUCUCUCGUCUUCCUCCCAAAUCCCACGGCGCUCCAACCCACCAAAAUCCUAACUCUCUCUCUCGUCUCUCUCCUUCGGAGGACGUCGCCGGUCCUCGCCUUCUCCGUCGCGGCGAGGCCGACCCCUCUCUUCCCCCUCUUUCUUUCUUCCCUUCCCUACAUCUAAAUCCCUAAAUUAAAAAAAAAUAGAUCUAGGGCUUCCUAGCUUCAAUUUAUGUUCUCCAGUUAGUUCCGCCACUGCCGCCAGUCUCCGUCGCACCACCGCCACCUUCGUCUCAAUUGGCAGCCACCGCGGACCGCCGUGGCGCGCGCAGCGCCGGCGGUUGCCGCCGCCAGCCCCGCCCCGCCGCAUUGGCUCGCGGCUGUUGCUGUUGUCCUCUUCUUCUUCUUCUUCUUCUUCUUCUUCUUCUUCUUCUUCUUCUUCUUCUUCUUCUUCUUCUUCUUCUUCUUCUUCUUCUUUUCUUUUGCUGUUUUUCUUUUCUGGUGCAAAUAAGGUACAAAAUUGGAAGGAUUGUGAGGGAAAUACAGCUCUGCAUAUUGCAAUCGCUGAUAAGCAUCUUCAGGAAUUUCUCAGGAAUCCAGACAAGUAUAUAAAGCUUGGUGCACGACCUCCUAGAGGUGUUCUCUUGAUAGAUGCUGUAGCCAAGAGCCGUGAUGGUAGAUUCCGUAUUGUGAGUAAUGAUGAGCGUGAACAGACCUUAAAUCAGCUUCUCACUGUUUGUGGUGGUGGAUUAAAUGAGCCGUACGUUGAGCUGAAGAGGCUUGUGAAUUCACAAGAAAAGUUAUACCAGAUGGCUUAGAUAGUUGCAUAUUUAAUAUAUUUAGUAUUUUUGUAAGGCAUAAUAGUAUUAGAUAGAGCAUUUGUUGAAUUUUGACUAUAUUCAAAUGAUGUAUGAAUUCUUUUUUUAUGAUAAUAAUAUAUGGAUUUUCAAUAUUUUGUUUUAGAA
Long non-coding RNA from Salvia miltiorrhiza (redroot sage), 1076 nucleotides. RefSeq lists it as uncharacterized. NCBI's taxonomy places the organism in Eukaryota, Viridiplantae, Streptophyta, Magnoliopsida, Lamiales, Lamiaceae. The record is from RefSeq and is a predicted model, not a curated record. The transcript is spliced from 5 exons.